This 253-nucleotide ribosomal RNA is filed under the name uncultured bacterium. RNAcentral's name for it is "partial 16S ribosomal RNA". It matches the Rfam family "Bacterial small subunit ribosomal RNA", at positions 524 to 776 of the family's 1533-position model. The record is from RNAcentral.
UACGGAGGGUGCAAGCGUUAUCCGGAUUUACUGGGCUUAAAGGGUGCGUAGGUGGGUAGGUAAGUCAGUGGUGAAAUCUUCGAGCUUAACUCGGAAACUGCCAUUGAUACUAUUUAUCUUGAAUACUUUGGAGGUAAGCGGAAUAUGUCAUGUAGCGGUGAAAUGCUUAGAUAUGACAUAGAACACCAAUGGCGAAGGCAGCUUACUACACAGUUAUUGACACUGAGGCACGAAAGCGUGGGGAUCAAACAGG